Molecule: long non-coding RNA, 1176 nt
Organism: Sitophilus oryzae (rice weevil)
Lineage: Eukaryota; Metazoa; Arthropoda; Insecta; Coleoptera; Curculionidae
Exons: 4
Source: RefSeq, a predicted model, not a curated record
ACAACUCUAAUGACAUAGAUCGCGUUCAUCAGGACGUAGCGCUACCGCAGCGAUCACUAAUUUUCUGCUGAACGCGCCGAUUAGUUGUGAGCGCUCUGGGAUCAGUCGCCAUUUUUUCCAUCAGAUUUAAAAUACGUUACGCUACCGAUGCAUGAUGGAUUAAACGUCACAUACGCCAAAUGCCACAAAAUGUUUUGGAAAACGAAAACAAAGCAUUUUGUUUAUUGUUCUCGGUUGACUAGUCCCCUCGAUUUGUGCCAAAAAUGGGUGAAAACAAUUUAAUAUGCAUUACUUAUGAUUUUGAUCUAAAAAGCACGUUCAGCAGGACAACCAAUCGAUGGUACAUCGCUCACUGAUCAACUUGUCCUGAUGAACGCGACCAUAGACAAUAUAGACAUACGACAUUUUUAAAAUGGCGCAUAUGCCGCGCUGAACGAGCGGCUAAUUCACAAGAUGCAUUCCAUUUCCUAUUGGUCGAGAUAUUUUGAGGUUAGGGUUAUAAUAGGGUUGUUAUUUAUUUUCGAUUUCGGUGUUAUUUUAUAUUUUGUGUUUGAAUUUGAAAUUAACAGACUAUUACCUUAAAUUAACGUCUAUCUAAAAAAAUCAUAACAUCGUUCUUCUCGGUAAAACCUUGCAUCCAAAUAGGUAGGCUUAAGAAGAAAUCAGAAGAAUAUUUUCGUCAAAAUGAGUAAAUAAUUAGGUGCAAGCUAGGUCAUAUACCAAAGUCCCAUAAAGGCUAGCAAACUAUGGACAAGACCACAACACAUUUAAAAUCAAAACAAUUGACGUAGGUAAAAUGGGUUUGGAAAAGGGAACCACGGGGAGGGGCUCUACAGGGAAUAGGCAUCACAGGGAAGAGGCAUUACGAGGAAAAAAACUACUGACUACUAGGACUAGGAUUAUUCAGGCUAAGAUGGAGAGACAAUAAAUGCACCCAUUGUCAACAAGGACUUACAGUUAUUGGGAAUGGAAGGAGUUUGUUUAUGACAGCUCUAGGUGGAAGCAAAAAGUUGAUGCAACCAAGAGUAUAAGUCCCAUCAUGGGUUUCAGUGCUACGGAGUAGGUACCUCUAUUUUAUUGGUUCGUAGAACAUUUUGGAAGUCAACAUGCAAGAAUUGUAUAGUAUUUAUUACUUUUUAGUUCUUACACCUUGAUUAACUUAGUGCCUACACUAGA